Molecule: ribosomal RNA, 155 nt
Filed under: uncultured bacterium
Lineage: Bacteria
Description: partial 16S rRNA
Rfam family: Bacterial small subunit ribosomal RNA
Source: RNAcentral
UAGGGAAUAUUGGUCAAUGGACGCAAGUCUGAACCAGCCAUCCCGCGUGCAGGACGACGGCCCUAUGGGUUGUAAACUGCUUUUGUACAGGAAGAAUAAGCACUACGUGUAGUGUGAUGACGGUACUGUAAGAAUAAGGAUCGGCUAACUCCGUG